This 423-nucleotide ribosomal RNA is filed under the name uncultured bacterium. RNAcentral describes it as "bacterial SSU rRNA". It matches the Rfam family "Bacterial small subunit ribosomal RNA", at positions 207 to 622 of the family's 1533-position model. The record is from RNAcentral.
AAGACCUUGCACUUUUGGAGCGGCCGAUGUCUGAUUAGCUAGUUGGUGGGGUAAUGGCCUACCAAAGCUUCGAUCAGUAGCUGGUCUGAGAGGACGGCCAGCCACACUGGGACUGAGACACGGCCCAGACUCCUACGGGAGGCAGCAGCGGGGAAUUUUGGACAAUGGGCGCAAGCCUGAUCCAGCCAUGCCGCGUGAGUGAAGAAGGCCUUCGGGUUGUAAAGCUCUUUCAGCCGGGAAGAAAAGGUUGCGAUUAAUAAUCGCAAUUUAUGACGGUACCGGAAGAAGAAGCACCGGCUAACUACGUGCCAGCAGCCGCGGUAAUACGUAGGGUGCGAGCGUUAAUCGGAAUUACUGGGCGUAAAGGGUGCGCAGGCGGUUUUGUAAGUCAGAUGUGAAAUCCCCGGGCUUAACCUGGGAACU